Long non-coding RNA from Cebus imitator (Panamanian white-faced capuchin), 1122 nucleotides. RefSeq lists it as uncharacterized. The record is from RefSeq and is a predicted model, not a curated record. Lineage: Eukaryota; Metazoa; Chordata; Mammalia; Primates; Cebidae. The transcript has 7 exons.
GGCCGAGCGCCAACCGCAGGACCGCGCCGCUGCCUCCGACGCAGUGAGCACUUCAUUAGUAACCCGAGCUCUCCAAAGUCUCUGUCCCUCUGGGAAGGCUCCCGGCUCCCGCCACUCGCCGGCGGGCUGGCAGGGACGCUACGGGCUGCACUCCCGGGUCUCCAACCCAACUCUGGCCGCAGCUCCCACCGAAGGCGAACGCGGAGGGAAGGAAGAGCUACAGGGAGAGAUGUGACCCGCCUGGGGUCCUACGAAAUAAGCUCGCCGGCCGUUCCUCCAGCCCUACCCCACCUGCGUUGCUGCUCACGCCCUCCGGACUGCCCGCGCCAGAAAUCCCGCACCCGUCGGAUGGACGGCCCCGGGCACCGGGCUGCAGGCGGCUCGGAGCGGCCCUGGCUCGCGCUCGUAGUUCCGCCUGGAGCAGCCCGAGCGAUGAGGGGGCGGGGAGCCGGCGGGGGAGGGUCGCCCGGCGCCGGAGGCGCGGCCGGCAGCGCCGCGGACGAGCUGGUUCGUGCAGAGUUAUGAGCAUCUACUGCCCUACAAUUCUUACAACAGAUGCUUGGAAAUGAAAAGAAUUGUGGUCUUUACCUUUUAGAAUGUCACUUUGGCAAGGUGCUCCUUUACAUGCAAUGGUCAGUGCAAAUCAUUGUUAGUUUGCAUGCUUUCUUAAAGCAAGCUGGUACCUUGGAAAGGCCUAUGUGCAAAAAACUGAAUGUGGCCUCUGGCCAACCACCAGCGAGGAGCUAAGGCCCUCAGUCCAGCAGUUUGUGAAGAACUGAAUCCUGCCAUCAACCAUGUGAGCCUGGAAGUGGAUUCUUCCCCAGAUGAAAGAAUUAUACCAUCUCAACUGUAGCAAGUACCGUGGCCUGUGCUUUUAGAGGUUCAAAAUUGAUGCAUGAGAGUAAAGGUGAAAAUAAGAUUUGUUAACAGAUGUUAACAGUCCUACAAAAUGUACCCUUGAAACUCCUGGUCAAAGUUUAUUUUCACUGCUAAACUGAAAACUCCAUGAGCACAGGGCCUUCUUCACUAUUGCAUAGUAACAAUCUUGCUCAAGCAUCUGAAGAAAGAGUAUUUUGGAGAAGUGCAGCAUUUCGAAGGGCAUUCUCAGGGAUAGGAUCUGGU